RNAcentral lists this ribosomal RNA (373 nucleotides) under uncultured organism. RNAcentral's name for it is "partial 16S ribosomal RNA". It matches the Rfam family "Bacterial small subunit ribosomal RNA", at positions 527 to 896 of the family's 1533-position model. The record is from RNAcentral.
GUAGGUGGCAAGCGUUGUCCGGAAUUAUUGGGCGUAAAGCGCGCGCAGGCGGUUCUUUAAGUCUGAUGUGAAAGCCCACGGCUCAACCGUGGAGGGUCAUUGGAAACUGGAGAACUUGAGUACAGAAGAGGAAAGCGGAAUUCCACGUGUAGCGGUGAAAUGCGUAGAGAUGUGGAGAAACACCAGUGGCGAAGGCGGCUUUCUGGUCUGUAACUGACGCUGAGGCGCGAAAGCGUGGGGAGCAAACAGGGAUUAGAUACCCUGGUAGUCCACGCCGUAAACGAUGAGUGCUAAGUGUUAGGGGGUUUCCGCCCCCUUAGUGCUGCAGCUAACGCAUUAAGCACUCCGCCUGGGGAGUACGGCCGCAAGGCUG